This 1434-nucleotide ribosomal RNA is filed under the name uncultured organism. RNAcentral's name for it is "16S ribosomal RNA". It matches the Rfam family "Bacterial small subunit ribosomal RNA". The record is from RNAcentral.
CAGGCUUAACACAUGCGAGUCGAGGGGCAGCAUGGUCUUAGCUUGCUAAGGCCGAUGGCGACCGGCGCACGGGUGAGUAACACGUAUCCAACCUGCCGUCUACUCUUGGACAGCCUUCUGAAAGGAAGAUUAAUACAAGAUGGCAUCAUGAGUCCGCAUGUUCACAUGAUUAAAGGUAUUCCGGUAGACGAUGGGGAUGCGUUCCAUUAGAUAGUAGGCGGGGUAACGGCCCACCUAGUCUUCGAUGGAUAGGGGUUCUGAGAGGAAGGUCCCCCACAUUGGAACUGAGACACGGUCCAAACUCCUACGGGAGGCAGCAGUGAGGAAUAUUGGUCAAUGGGCGAGAGCCUGAACCAGCCAAGUAGCGUGAAGGAUGACUGCCCUAUGGGUUGUAAACUUCUUUUAUAAAGGAAUAAAGUCGGGUAUGCAUACCCGUUUGCAUGUACUUUAUGAAUAAGGAUCGGCUAACUCCGUGCCAGCAGCCGCGGUAAUACGGAGGAUCCGAGCGUUAUCCGGAUUUAUUGGGUUUAAAGGGAGCGUAGAUGGAUGUUUAAGUCAGUUGUGAAAGUUUGCGGCUCAACCGUAAAAUUGCAGUUGAUACUGGAUAUCUUGAGUGCAGUUGAGGCAGGCGGAAUUCGUGGUGUAGCGGUGAAAUGCUUAGAUAUCACGAAGAACUCCGAUUGCGAAGGCAGCCUGCUAAGCUGCAACUGACAUUGAGGCUCGAAAGUGUGGGUAUCAAACAGGAUUAGAUACCCUGGUAGUCCACACGGUAAACGAUGAAUACUCGCUGUUUGCGAUAUACAGCAAGCGGCCAAGCGAAAGCGUUAAGUAUUCCACCUGGGGAGUACGCCGGCAACGGUGAAACUCAAAGGAAUUGACGGGGGCCCGCACAAGCGGAGGAACAUGUGGUUUAAUUCGAUGAUACGCGAGGAACCUUACCCGGGCUUAAAUUGCAGAUGAAUUACGGUGAAAGCCGUAAGCCGCAAGGCAUCUGUGAAGGUGCUGCAUGGUUGUCGUCAGCUCGUGCCGUGAGGUGUCGGCUUAAGUGCCAUAACGAGCGCAACCCUUGUUGUCAGUUACUAACAGGUUCUGCUGAGGACUCUGACAAGACUGCCAUCGUAAGAUGUGAGGAAGGUGGGGAUGACGUCAAAUCAGCACGGCCCUUACGUCCGGGGCUACACACGUGUUACAAUGGGGGGUACAGAGGGCCGCUACCACGCGAGUGGAUGCCAAUCCCAAAAACCUCUCUCAGUUCGGACUGGAGUCUGCAACCCGACUCCACGAAGCUGGAUUCGCUAGUAAUCGCGCAUCAGCCACGGCGCGGUGAAUACGUUCCCGGGCCUUGUACACACCGCCCGUCAAGCCAUGGGAGCCGGGGGUACCUGAAGUGCGUAACCGCGAGGAGCGCCCUAGGGUAAAACUGGUGACUGGGGC